UGGGGAAUAUUGGGCAAUGGGCGCAAGCCUGACCCAGCAACGCCGCGUGAAGGAAGAAGGCCCUCGGGUUGUAAACUUCUUUUCUAUAGGACGAAGAAGUGACGGUACUAUAGGAAUAAGCCACGGCUAACUACGUGCCAGCAGCCGCGGUAAUACGUAGGUGGCGAGCGUUAUCCGGAUUUACUGGGUGUAAAGGGCGUGUAGGCGGGAGAGCAAGUCAGAUGUGAAAACUACAGGCUUAACCUGUAGCCUGCAUUUGAAACUGUUCUUCUUGAGUGAUGGAGAGGCAGGCGGAAUUCCUAG
RNAcentral lists this ribosomal RNA (303 nucleotides) under uncultured bacterium. RNAcentral's name for it is "bacterial SSU rRNA". It matches the Rfam family "Bacterial small subunit ribosomal RNA", at positions 355 to 673 of the family's 1533-position model. The record is from RNAcentral.